This 475-nucleotide ribosomal RNA is filed under the name uncultured bacterium. RNAcentral describes it as "bacterial SSU rRNA". It matches the Rfam family "Bacterial small subunit ribosomal RNA", at positions 32 to 507 of the family's 1533-position model. The record is from RNAcentral.
AACGCUGGCGGCGUGCCUAACACAUGCAAGUCGAGCGGGGUAGCCGGAAGGUGUAGCGAUACAGCGGAGGGGUACCUAGCGGCGAACGGGUGAGUAACGCGUGGGCAAUCUGGCCCCGGGGGCGGGAUAACAGACCGAAAGGCCUGCUAAUACCGCAUGAAGCCGUCCUAUCGCAUGAUAAGACGGUAAAAGGGGAAACCCGCCUGGGGAGGAGCCCGCGUCCCAUUAGCUAGUUGGUGGUGUAAAGGACCACCAAGGCGAUGAUGGGUAGCCGGCCUGAGAGGGUGAACGGCCACAUUGGGACUGAGACACGGCCCAGACUCCUACGGGGGGCAGCAGUGAGGGAUUUUCGGCAAUGGGCGAAAGCCUGACCGAGCGACGCCGCGUGGGCGAAGAAGGCCUUCGGGUCGUAAAGCUCUGUCUAGGGGGAAGAGGAAGGACGGUACCUCUGGAGGAAGCCACGGCUAACUACGUG